This 497-nucleotide ribosomal RNA is filed under the name uncultured bacterium. RNAcentral describes it as "partial 16S ribosomal RNA". It matches the Rfam family "Bacterial small subunit ribosomal RNA", at positions 28 to 507 of the family's 1533-position model. The record is from RNAcentral.
GAUGAACGCUGGCGGCGUGCCUAAUACAUGCAAGUCGAGCGAACAGACGAGGAGCUUGCUCCUUCGACGUUAGCGGCGGACGGGUGAGUAACACGUAGGUAACCUACCUAUAAGACUGGGAUAACUUCGGGAAACCGGAGCUAAUACCGGAUAAUAUUUCGAACCGCAUGGUUCGAUAGUGAAAGAUGGCUUUGCUAUCACUUAUAGAUGGACCUGCGCCGUAUUAGCUAGUUGGUAAGGUAACGGCUUACCAAGGCAACGAUACGUAGCCGACCUGAGAGGGUGAUCGGCCACACUGGAACUGAGACACGGUCCAGACUCCUACGGGAGGCAGCAGUAGGGAAUCUUCCGCAAUGGGCGAAAGCCUGCCGGAGCAACGCCGCGUGAGUGAUGAAGGUCUUCGGAUCGUAAAACUCUGUUAUUAGGGAAGAACAAACGUGUAAGUAACUGUGCACGUCUUGACGGUACCUAAUCAGAAAGCCACGGCUAACUACGUG